This 253-nucleotide ribosomal RNA is filed under the name uncultured bacterium. RNAcentral describes it as "partial 16S ribosomal RNA". It matches the Rfam family "Bacterial small subunit ribosomal RNA", at positions 524 to 776 of the family's 1533-position model. The record is from RNAcentral.
GACGGAGGGGGCUAGCGUUGUUCGGCAUGACUGGGCGUAAAGGGCGCGUAGGCGGUUUAUUGAGUGAGGCGUGAAAGCCCUGGGCUUAACCCAGGAGGUGCGUUUCAUACUGGUAGACUUGAGUACGAGAGGGGAAAGCGGAAUUCCUAGUGUAGAGGUGAAAUUCGUAGAUAUUAGGAAGAACACCGGAGGCGAAGGCGGCUUUCUGGCUCGUAACUGACGCUGAGGCGCGAAAGCGUGGGGAGCAAACAGG